This 534-nucleotide long non-coding RNA is filed under the name Brassica napus (rape). RNAcentral's name for it is "long non-coding RNA (BNAP_LNC017080)". Lineage: Eukaryota; Viridiplantae; Streptophyta; Magnoliopsida; Brassicales; Brassicaceae. The record is from RNAcentral.
UGGAUCUUGCACGAUCGGAGGUGUUGUGAAAACCGGCGGGGGUAGAAUGGGCGGAAAAUCUUCAACCGGUGGAGGCAAAAUAGGCGGCAACUCUUGAACCGGUGGAGGUAAAAUGGAAGGGAGGUCUGGAACCGGUGGAGGAAUAACUGGCGGGAAAUCUUCAACUGGUGGAGGCAGAAUCACGGGAAGUACUACUGGCGAUGGUGUUGAUUGGUCAAUUGGUGGCUCGGUUGUUUCAUCAGGUGGUGGAAACUCUGGAGUAGUUUGGUCAGGUGGUAUUAUCGGAGGUAGGUCUUGAACCGGUGGAGGAAUAACUGGCGGGAAAUCUUCAACUGGUGGAGGCAAAAUCUCGGGAAGGAUAGGUGGCGGUGGUGUUGACUGGUCAAUUGGUGGCUCGAUUGUUUCAUCAGGUGGUGGAAACUCUGGAGUUGUUUGGUCAGGCGGCGAUGGGAUCAGUGGAAAAUUGUCUACUGGUGGUGGUGGGAGAAGUGAAGGGGUAUCUGGUGCGGGUGGUGGAGUUCCAGUGGUUAUAUC